GAUGAACGCUGGCGGCGUGCCUAAUACAUGCAAGUCGAGCGAACGGACGAGAAGCUUGCUUCUCUGAUGUUAGCGGCGGACGGGUGAGUAACACGUGGAUAACCUACCUAUAAGACUGGGAUAACUUCGGGAAACCGGAGCUAGUACCGGAUAAUAUUUUGAACCGCAUGGUUCAAAAGUGAAAGACGGUCUUGCUGUCACUUAUAGAUGGAUCCGCGCUGCAUUAGCUAGUUGGUAAGGUAACGGCAUACCAAGGCAACGAUGCAUAGCCGACCUGAGAGGGUGAUCGGCCACACUGGAACUGAGACACGGUCCAGACUCCUACGGGAGGCAGCAGUAGGGAAUCUUCCGCAAUGGGCGAAAGCCUGACGGAGCAACGCCGCGUGAGUGAUGAAGGUCAUCGGAUCGUAAAACUCUGUUAUUAGGGAAGAACAUAUGUGUAAGUAACUGUGCACAUCUUGACGGUACCUAAUCAGAAAGCCACGGCUAACUACGUG
Molecule: ribosomal RNA, 497 nt
Filed under: uncultured bacterium
Lineage: Bacteria
Description: partial 16S ribosomal RNA
Rfam family: Bacterial small subunit ribosomal RNA
Source: RNAcentral